CCUACGUGUGGCUGCAGUGGGGAAUAUUGGACAAUGGGCGAAAGCCUGAUCCAGCCAUGCCGCGUGUGUGAAGAAGGCCUUCGGGUUGUAAAGCACUUUCAGUGGGGAAGAAAGCCUUGGGGCUAAUACCCUCGAGGAAGGACAUCACCCACAGAAGAAGCACCGGCUAACUCCGUGCCAGCAGCCGCGGUAAUACGGAGGGUGCGAGCGUUAAUCGGAAUUACUGGGCGUGAAGCGCGCGUAGGCGGUCUGAUAAGCCGGUUGUGAAAGCCCCGGGCUCAACCUGGGAACGGCAUCCGGAACUGUCAGGCUAGAGUGCAGGAGAGGAAGGUAGAAUUCCCGGUGUAGCGGUGAAAUGCGUAGAGAUCGGGAGGAAUACCAGUGGCGAAGGCGGCCUUCUGGACUGACACUGACGCUGAGGUGCGAAAGCGUGGGUAGCAAACAGGAUUAGAUACCCUGGUAGUC
RNAcentral lists this ribosomal RNA (465 nucleotides) under Vreelandella stevensii. RNAcentral's name for it is "partial 16S ribosomal RNA". It matches the Rfam family "Bacterial small subunit ribosomal RNA", at positions 338 to 795 of the family's 1533-position model. Lineage: Bacteria; Pseudomonadati; Pseudomonadota; Gammaproteobacteria; Oceanospirillales; Halomonadaceae. The record is from RNAcentral.